GACGAACGCUGGCGGCGUGCCUAAUACAUGCAAGUAGAACGCUGAAGGAGGAGCUUGCUUCUCUGGAUGAGUUGCGAACGGGUGAGUAACGCGUAGGUAACCUGCCUGGUAGCGGGGGAUAACUAUUGGAAACGAUAGCUAAUACCGCAUAAUAGUAGAUGUUGCAUGACAUUUGCUUAAAAGGUGCAAUUGCAUCACUACCAGAUGGACCUGCGUUGUAUUAGCUAGUUGGUGGGGUAACGGCUCACCAAGGCGACGAUACAUAGCCGACCUGAGAGGGUGAUCGGCCACACUGGGACUGAGACACGGCCCAGACUCCUACGGGAGGCAGCAGUAGGGAAUCUUCGGCAAUGGACGGAAGUCUUACCGAGCAACGCCGCGUGAGUGAAGAAGGUUUUCGGAUCGUAAAGCUCUGUUGUAAGAGAAGAACGAGUGUGAGAGUGGAAAGUUCACACUGUGACGGUAUCUUACCAGAAAGGGACGGCUAACUACGUG
This 495-nucleotide ribosomal RNA is filed under the name uncultured bacterium. RNAcentral describes it as "partial 16S ribosomal RNA". It matches the Rfam family "Bacterial small subunit ribosomal RNA", at positions 28 to 507 of the family's 1533-position model. The record is from RNAcentral.